This 478-nucleotide unclassified non-coding RNA is filed under the name Hevea brasiliensis (rubber tree). Lineage: Eukaryota; Viridiplantae; Streptophyta; Magnoliopsida; Malpighiales; Euphorbiaceae. The record is from RNAcentral.
AAGGAAGAGUUUGUUUGGGAUUGUUGUUGCAACUGCUCUUGUAAAAGCACCCCUUUCUAUAUACCUUGUUCAGGAACUUCUAGAACACUCAUGGCCAAAGCAUCCCAAAAAGUUUUGAUGCUUUGGGCAAAGCACCCAAGAGGAUGCUUUUGAAGAAAGCAGUUUUAAAUUCAAUGCAAAAUGGGCACCUAGUUUGUUGUCAAGGAUACCAACAAGAUACACUACAGCUCAGUGACACCCGGUUCCCCACAUAAUCAACUACAGCUCUGUGACACCGGGUUCUCCACAUAAUAAAAGAAUAAUGAGAUAGCCAUAUAUUGAAGCCAUAUAUUGAUAUGGAAAUGGCAUAUCCAUUUAACGUAUUUAUAACUAUUUGUAUAAUUGCUCCAGGAAACCAUACAGUUGAGGAAAAGUCAGUUCAACAAGAAGCAUUUUAUCAUUGAGAUUGACAACUGUUGAAAAGAAAAGAAACAACAUA